GAGGAGCUUGCUCUUCUUGGAUGAGUUGCGAACGGGUGAGUAACGCGUAGGUAACCUGCCUGGUAGCGGGGGAUAACUAUUGGAAACGAUAGCUAAUACCGCAUAAAAUUGAUUAUUGCAUGAUAGUCAAUUGAAAGGUGCAACUGCACCACUACCAGAUGGACCUGCGUUGUAUUAGCUAGUUGGUGGGGUAACGGCUCACCAAGGCGACGAUACAUAGCCGACCUGAGAGGGUGAUCGGCCACACUGGGACUGAGACACGGCCCAGACUCCUACGGGAGGCAGCAGUAGGGAAUCUUCGGCAAUGGACGGAAGUCUGACCGAGCAACGCCGCGUGAGUGAAGGAGGUUUUCGGAUCGUAAAGCUCUGUUGUAAGAGAAGAACGAGUGUGAGAGUGGAAAGUUCACACUGGACUUUUCUACCAGA
RNAcentral lists this ribosomal RNA (426 nucleotides) under Streptococcus cristatus. RNAcentral describes it as "bacterial SSU rRNA". It matches the Rfam family "Bacterial small subunit ribosomal RNA", at positions 73 to 487 of the family's 1533-position model. The record is from RNAcentral. Lineage: Bacteria; Bacillati; Bacillota; Bacilli; Lactobacillales; Streptococcaceae.